Molecule: non-coding RNA, 23 nt
Filed under: Cricetulus griseus (Chinese hamster)
Lineage: Eukaryota; Metazoa; Chordata; Mammalia; Rodentia; Cricetidae
Source: RNAcentral
AACAGCUUAGGAUUUGCAAACUC